AGGUUUUAAAUGAUAAAAGUGGUUAGCUUUCUUCGGUUAAUGGUAAAAUGAGGAAAACAAAAAUAAGUGUAAAUGGGAGAUUAAUCCAAGUUAAGGGACAUAACUCUUUUAAAUUUUUAGUACAAUUGUGUCAAAUAUUUUCAUGUACAAAUUGUAAUCUUGUGAGUAACACUCUGUUUCACAUGAAUGCUUAUAAAGCAUUAACAAAACUAUCACAAAUACCUUAUCAUUUAAUAAAGUCAUCUACCCCCACCUUU
This 257-nucleotide long non-coding RNA is filed under the name Mytilus galloprovincialis (Mediterranean mussel). Lineage: Eukaryota; Metazoa; Mollusca; Bivalvia; Mytilida; Mytilidae. The record is from RNAcentral.